AGCGGUAGGAGAGCGUCGUAACCGGGCUGAAGUCGUACCGUAAGGAGCGGUGGACUGGUUACGAGUGAGAAUGUUGGCAUCAGUAGCGAGAUGUGGGUGAGAAUCCCACAGGCCGAAAACCUAAGGUUUCCUCAGGAAGGUUCGUCCGCUGAGGGUUAGUCGGGACCUAAGCCGAGGCCGAAAGGCGUAGGUGAUGGACAACUGGUUGAUAUUCCAGUACCACUACCAUCGUUAUUAUCGAUGGCGUGACGCAGGAGGAUAGUGUGUGCUAGCUAUUGGAUGCUAGUCUAAGCGUUUAGGCAGUGAGAGUAGGCAAAUCCGCUCUCAU
Molecule: ribosomal RNA, 328 nt
Filed under: Salmonella enterica subsp. enterica
Lineage: Bacteria; Pseudomonadati; Pseudomonadota; Gammaproteobacteria; Enterobacterales; Enterobacteriaceae
Description: partial 23S ribosomal RNA
Rfam family: Bacterial large subunit ribosomal RNA
Source: RNAcentral